AGUGAACGCUGGCGGCAUGGUUAAGACAUGCAAGUCGAACGAUAAGCAAAACUUCGGUUUUGUGGACAGUGGCGAACGGGUGCGUAACACGUGAGCAACCUGCCCUUGAGUAUAGAAUAGCUCGCCGAAAGGCGAAUUAAUACUGUAUGUGACCCUCUACCGCAUGGUAAAGUGGUUAAAGCUUGUAAUGGCGCUCAAGGAUGGGCUCGCGGCCUAUCAGCUUGUUGGUGAGGUAAAAGCUCACCAAGGCUAAGACGGGUAGCUGGUCUGAGAGGAUGAUCAGCCACACCGGGACUGAGACACGGCCCGGACACCUACGGGUGGCAGCAGUUUCGAAUCAUUCACAAUGGGCGAAAGCCUGAUGAUGCAAUGCCGCGUGGAGGAUGAAGGCCUUAGGGUCGUAAACUCCUGUCAUUAGGGAACAACAAAUAGGUUUAUAGCCUAUUCUGAGUUAACCUAAAGAGGAAGAGGUGGCUAACUCCG
This 483-nucleotide ribosomal RNA is filed under the name uncultured Puniceicoccaceae bacterium. RNAcentral's name for it is "bacterial SSU rRNA". It matches the Rfam family "Bacterial small subunit ribosomal RNA", at positions 29 to 505 of the family's 1533-position model. Lineage: Bacteria; Pseudomonadati; Verrucomicrobiota; Opitutia; Puniceicoccales; Puniceicoccaceae. The record is from RNAcentral.